Molecule: ribosomal RNA, 1603 nt
Filed under: Onychodactylus zhangyapingi
Lineage: Eukaryota; Metazoa; Chordata; Amphibia; Caudata; Hynobiidae
Description: 16S ribosomal RNA
Rfam family: Bacterial large subunit ribosomal RNA
Source: RNAcentral
UGUUAAAAUCAAGUCAUUAUGAGUAAUAAAUUUAGCCUAAAUAAAUAUUCUUAAGUUAAAUACAAUAAAACAUUCUUAUUAUUCUAGUACAGGAGAUGAAAAAAAUUUUAAGCGCAAUAGAAAUAGUACUGCAAAGGAAAAAUGAAAUAGAAAUUAAAUAAAUCAUUAAAACAAUAAAAAGCAAAGAUUAAACCUUGUACCUUUUGCAUUAUGGUCUAGUAAGUUUAACCUAACAUAUAGAAAUUUAGUCAGAUUCCCCGAAACUAGACGAGCUACUUCGAAGCAGCACAACAAGAGCAAACCCUUCUCUGUGGCAAAAGAGUGGGAUGACUUCCCAGUAGUGGUGAUAAACCUAACGAGCCUAGUAAUAGCUGGUUACUCAGUAAAUGAACUUAAAUUCAGCUUAAAAUAUUUUUUUAACAAUUAAAGUAAAAAAUAAUAUUUUAAAGUUAUUUAAUAGAGGUACAGCUCUAUUAAUAAAGGAUACAACCUAUUACACUGAAUAAGGAUUAUAUAAACUAAAAAAAUUAACUAUGUGGGCUUAAAAGCAGCAAUCAUAUUAAAAGCGUUAAAGCUUGGUUAAAAAAAAAACCUGAUAUAAUAAUAAUAAAUCUAAAUUCACUAAAACUACUGAGUCAAUCUAUUAAUAUAGAUGUGUUUAUACUAGAAUUAGUAACAAGAAGAAAUUCUCUAUAGUGUAAGUGUAAAUCAGAACGAAAUAAUCACUGAUUAUUAACGAACCUAUUGAAGGUAACAUAACACAAAACAAGAAAAAAUUAUAAAACAAACCGUUAACCCAACACAGGAACACUACAAUAAGAUUAAAAAUUUAGGAAGGAACUCGGCAAACAUGAACUUCGCCUGUUUACCAAAAACAUCGCCUCUUGCUAUUAAAGUAUAAGAGGUCCUGCCUGCCCAGUGACAUUAGUUUAACGGCCGCGGUAUUAUGACCGUGCAAAGGUAGCGUAAUCACUUGUCUUUUAAAUAAAGACCUGUAUGAAUGGCAAAACGAAAGUUCAACUGUCUCCCUAAAUUAAUCAGUGAAAUUGAUUUUUCCGUGCAGAAGCGGAAAUAAAAUUAUAAGACGAGAAGACCCUAUGGAGCUUUAAAUAUAAUUCAACUGUUUUAAUUAAAAUUCAAACGGAAAAAAUAUAAUAAAACAUAAUGAUUAAAAUUUUAGGUUGGGGCGACCACGGAAAAAAACAAAACUUCCGAGAUGAAAUAAUCAAUGAACAACAGUUCUAAAAAAUAAAAUAUUUAACAUAAUUGAUCCAAUAUUUGAUCAACGAACCAAGUUACCCUAGGGAUAACAGCGCAAUCCUUUCUAAGAGUCCUUAUCGACGAAUGGGUUUACGACCUCGAUGUUGGAUCAGGACACCCCAAUGGUGUAGCCGCUAUUAAAGGUUCGUUUGUUCAACGAUUAAAGUCCUACGUGAUCUGAGUUCAGACCGGAGAAAUCCAGGUCAGUUUCUAUCUAUAUAUAUUUUUCCUAGUACGAAAGGACCGGAAAAAUAGAGCCUAUGUUCUAAUAAGCUCUCUUCAUUACUACUGAAAACAACUAAAGUAGCCUAGAAGAAACUACAAUCACCUUAUAUAAAGGUUA